This 1760-nucleotide small RNA is filed under the name Pongo abelii (Sumatran orangutan). Its description in RNAcentral is "retained intron". The record is from RNAcentral. Lineage: Eukaryota; Metazoa; Chordata; Mammalia; Primates; Hominidae.
CCAGAGACUCUGGAGGCUGAGCUUUCCUCGGCCUGAGCCAGCCAGACCCUGGGCCCCGCGCUCACUCCUCUCCGCCGCCACGUCCGCGAAGGCCUCACGCGCGAGGCCAGGCAAGGCCCCGAGGCGCCCACCACUUCACGACACCGGAGCGAACCGGGCGCCAGAGGCCGCGACCCCCCUGCCCCGAAUCCGGCCGGUGGGAGUGGCUGCAUUUGAACCAAACGGCCUACGCGGGCAGCAGCUGUCCCCCCGCAGCCCCGGGGGCUCCCAAGGGCCUGUGACCGACGCCGGCCUCCGCGUCUUCGUCCCCGAAGCCCCCGGAACCAUCCGCCCUCGGGAGACCAUGCUGCAGAUGCGAGGAAAGCCGUUUCCUGGAACAUCGGAAUUCUAACCCCAGGGUGAAGGACUCACGACAGGCGAGGGGCAGACAUGCUGAACUCCACGGGCGAACUGGAGUUUUCGAACGAAGAAGAUCCCGAGAUCAUCUCUCAACUAACUUCCCUGCCUCUGUCCAGUGGGAAAAGCUCAGCUGGUGUACCCGAAAAAACGGGCUAUCCGGACUCCGUUUAUGUCAUGGCAGCCAACAUUUUUCAGGGUAUUCAAAUCGAAAAGUCGGCACAGAAAGUCUUAAUCAAGUAUGGGAAUGAACCCCUGCGGUCCUUGUCCGAGUCUGAGGAUCAGUCCUUUCAGCGUUUGUCUUAUGAGCUGGCUUUCAGUGCCCUGAAAUAUCAAGAUAUUUUGGAAACUAUAUUGAUAGACAGCUGUAUCUUCCCAAGUACCACAAUACCAGAUCAUUUAAGCAGUCUUAUUAUUGUGAUGCUAUAUGAUUUCCAAGAUAGAAAAUUUCAAACUCGCGUCCUUUCUGAUAAUGAAGAGCCCAUAUCAGAAGUUCAAGAAGUAGAGAACCUUCUUAACAGUUUUAAGAUAAAAUUGGCUGCAGCACUGGCAAGAUGUCGAAUCAAGCACGAUGCCGUUUCAAUUUACCACAUCCUUCCAGAAACAGUUAGGAAACAGGAACUAAGGGCCUCCACUUUACCACUUUAUGCUUGGAUAAAUACUUGUAAAAUCAGCCCUGAAGAAGUUUAUAAUAAUUUGAAGAGAAGAGGCUAUAAUAAAGUCAAAUCUGUAUUGCAUAUUGAUGAUAAAGUCUUUGCUGUGGAUCAACAUUGCUAUGAUGUCUUAAUUUUUCCAUCUCAUCUUAAAAAUGAUCUCAUAAAUAUAGAUCUUUUCAAAGAUUACAAACUUAUAUUUCAGGUAAACUAAUAUUUACUUUCAUUGUGAUUCUCAACAAUCCAACCUAGCCAAAGAACUUCUCCACUUAAAAAUAAAACCUAACACUGUUUAUAUUUUUAUAGAUUAUCAGGGAGGUUUAUAAGGCCUAAUUGUCACCUUGAAUAAAAUUAAUACCUCUACAAUCAGUGCAUCUAGUUGGCAUCUUUGUCUCAUGUGAAUUUAUAAAGAACAUAUUCUUCUCCCAGAUUCCAUAAAUGGGAAGAUUUGCAUUGCUGGCAGCUGUAAGGUUCUACUUUUCUCCCCUAAAGGAGAUUUCAAAAGAAAGUACAAUGAGACCUUUUCUUCCUUCCCUUUCUGGGGAAGAUACUAGUGCCAUCUUGCAUAGGAAAAAGCAAUUGUAAUAGUUUUUCAUAAUUUCUUUAAUAUAGUCUUAUAGCUUUGAUUUGUAAGAGGUGUAUAAAGCCUAUCAAUAUAGGAAGAGCAUGUGAGGUAUAAUGUAGUUUCAACAGAACGAAAAUAAAAGGUAU